This 1348-nucleotide long non-coding RNA is filed under the name Salmo salar (Atlantic salmon). RNAcentral's name for it is "lncRNA (ENSSSAG00000112791.1, ENSSSAG00020078723.1)". Lineage: Eukaryota; Metazoa; Chordata; Actinopteri; Salmoniformes; Salmonidae. The record is from RNAcentral.
GGCAAACUGCCUGCCCUACAGCACCCAAUGUCACAGGAAGGCCAAAAAGAUCAUCAAGGACAACAACCACCCAAGCCACUGCCUGUUCACCCCGCUAUCAUCCAGAAGGCGAGCUUCCCAGGCAACCAUCACAGCAGGAAUGCUGUGAUACGAAACCAGCUUUCCCAAGGCAAAGAAGGGGAUGUAUGUUGUAAAGACAGACCCAACAUUCUGUCACGCUUGAUCCAGCGCCGUAUGUAAGGAAGCUGUGCAAGCAGUCCAUCCCAAGACCCAUGUUUGCACAGUGUGAGGCCUGACAAGGAGGAUGUCAUAACUGGAUUUGUAUCCUGCUUCAAUCGUGGGGGUGACUGAAGCCAAGGAGGAGGUCAGAGACCUGGCAGUGUGGUGCCAGGACAACAACCUCUCCCUCAACGUGAGCAAGACAAAGGAGAUGAUCGUGGACUACAGGAAAAGGAGGGCCGAAAACGCCCCCAUUCACAUCGACGAGGCUGCUGUGGAGCGGGUUGAGAGUUUCAAGUUCCUUGGUAUCCACAUCACAAACAAACUAUCAUGGUCCAAACACACCAAGAAAGUUGUGAAGAGCGCACAACAACGCAUUUUCCCCCACAGGAGACUAAAAUGAUUUGGAAUGGGUCCCCUGAUCCUCAAAAAGUUCUACAGCUGCACCAUCGAGAGCAUCUUGACCGGUUGCAUCACCGCCUGGUAUGGCAACUACUUGGCAUCAGACCGUAAGGCGCUAGAGAGAGUAGUGUGUACAACCCAGUACAUCACUGGGGCCAAGCUUCCUGCCAUCCAGGACCUAUAUGCCAGGCAGUGCCAGAGGAAGGCCCAAAAAAUGGUCAAAGACUCCAGUCACCCAAGUCAUUGACUGUUCUCUCUGCUACCACACGGCAAGCAGUACCGGGGCGCCAAGUCUAGGUCUAAAAGGCUCCUUAACAGCUUCUACCUUGAAACCAUAAUACUGCUGAACAAUGAAUCAAAUGGCCACCCAGACUAUUUACAUUGACGCCCACACACCCCGCCACCCCUUUGUUUUUACACUGCUGCUACUUGCUGUUUAUUAUCUAUGCAUAGUCACUUUACCCCUACCUACAUGUACAAAUUACUUCAGCUAACCUGUAACCGCGCACAUUGACUCAGUACCGGUACCCCCUGUAUAUAGCCUCAUUAUUGUUAUUUUAUUUUGUUACUUUUUAUUUCGACUUUAUUUAGUUUAUUUAGUAAAUAUUUUCAUAACUGUAUUUUCUUAAAACUGCAUUGUUGGUUAAGGGCGUGUAAGUAAGCAUUUCACUGUAAGGUCUACCUGUUCAGCACAUGUGACAAAUAAAAUUGAUUUGAUUUAAUACAG